This 290-nucleotide small RNA is filed under the name Bacillus licheniformis. RNAcentral describes it as "SurA". It matches the Rfam family "SurA sRNA". Lineage: Bacteria; Bacillati; Bacillota; Bacilli; Caryophanales; Bacillaceae. RNAcentral also lists the same sequence under 2 other names. The record is from RNAcentral.
CUUCAGGCACUGGAGCAAUCGGUGGAGUAGGGAUACUUUGGCCGGUUUCAUCUACUCCGCCUCUAAAUCCAACAAAUCAGCAAAUCUCAUCCUUUUCACCCUGGUCAUUGCCUUUAUCAUCUCCUUUGUAAAUUUUUUGUUAAAUUCACAAUAUUAUAUACAAUUAGCCCGGUCGCUGUUCUAUGCAUGUCAUGAUCUUUUUAACAAAAAACACCUCCCGAUCACCGGGAAGUGUUUUUCGUGCUUGAAUUAAAAAUGGAGACCCCCCUCUUAGGGAAUCUCCAUUUUUU